CAAACCCUCAGCCGCAGGUCUUGUACCCACGGUUGGUCUUGAGCUCGGUCACCCGCGGUCAAACGCGAGGCCGGCUUUAAAUUGGCAGCUCUGCGGUCAACAGCUCUGGAAGAACAUAGUAAAUCAUUCUUGUUCCUAUCUAUAAGCCGUUCGAUCCGCCUGAAGAACAAACCACAUCACAUCAAG
This 186-nucleotide unclassified non-coding RNA is filed under the name uncultured Ascomycota. RNAcentral describes it as "sequence contains ITS2". The record is from RNAcentral. Lineage: Eukaryota; Fungi; Ascomycota.